Oncorhynchus tshawytscha (Chinook salmon) is the source of this 2687-nucleotide long non-coding RNA. Lineage: Eukaryota; Metazoa; Chordata; Actinopteri; Salmoniformes; Salmonidae. The record is from Ensembl.
UACACAGACUGGAGACCAGCUCUGAACACACAGAGAGACCUACACAGACUGGAGACCAGCUCUGAACACACAGAGAGACCUACACAGACUGGAGACCAGCUCUGAACACACAGAGAGACCUACAGAGAGACCUACACAGACUGGAGACCAGCUCUGAACACACAGAGAGACCUACACAGACUGGAGACCAGCUCUGAACACACAGAGAGACCUACACAGACAGACUGAGACACAGUACUAACACACACACACACACACAGCACUACCAGACACACCAGCCAUGAAGAGGAAGGAUGAAGCUCGUACCGAGGGCCUGGAUCUUAGAAAGUCCUGAUGUGACAGAAAGAAGAGACAGUACAUGUAGGAAGGACAUGCUGGUGCUCACUACAGUAGCCCCGCCCCCACCCCUCCCACAAUGCUUUGGGUUUGUUCCUGUCUCACUACAGUAGCCCCGCCCCCGCCCCUCCCACAAUGCUUUGGGUUUGUUCCUGUCUCACUACAGUAGCCCCGCCCCCGCCCCUCCCACAAUGCUUUGGGUUUGUUCCUGUCUCACUACAGUAGCCCCGCCCCCACCCCUCCCACAAUGCUUUGGGUUUGUUCCUGUCUCACUACAGUAGCCCCGCCCCCGCCCCUCCCACAAUGCUUUGGGUUUGUUGAACUCUUGUUCAUCUGGGGGGGGUUCCCUCUAAAUGGACGAGUCUCUGGACAGAAAACCUGGCUGAACAAGUGUUUCAGGUGUGGAUUUAAAUAUUCAGAUGUUUUGGUGUCGUAAACAUCCUGAUGUAUCAUAUUGAAGAGAUAUAUACAGUGUGAUGGACAUUUAACUGAACAUCAAGGACAGACGUCACUAUAUUUUAAAGGUUAUACUGUGUAUCUGGAGUCAGGGUGGAGGGGGGGGGGUAACAGGAUGUUUUAGUCAGGAAGUGGUUGAAUAUAAACUCUGGUGUUAUUAUUAUAAUUGAUCCGAUGUUAUUAACUUUAUAUAAUUAUAGAUAGUCUGUUCUAUAUAGAGGUUAUUUUGAGUCUGGUCUCAGACCACACACACACACACACACACACACACACACCAGAGAGAGACGUCUCAGACACACACACACCGAGAGAGAGACGUCUCAGACACACACACCGAGAGAGACAUCUUAGACACACACAGAGAGAGAGUGACGUCUCGGACAGACACACCGAGAGAGUGACGUCUCGGACACACACACCGAGAGAGUGACGUCUCGGACACACACACCGAGAGAGUGACGUCUCGGACACACACACCGAGAGAGUGACGUCUCGGACACACACACCGAGAGAGUGACGUCUCGGACACACACACCGAGAGAGUGACGUCUCGGACACACACACCGAGAGAGUGACGUCUCGGACACACACACCGAGUGACGUCUCGGACACACACACCGAGAGAGUGACGUCUCGGACACACACACCGAGAGAGUGACGUCUCGGACACACACACCGAGAGAGACAGACGUCUCAAUCGAGAGACGAGGUGGUCUGAUCUAGACAGAGGAGAUAUGAACCAGGUCACAUGCCCAUAUUAUUUAUCACACACAGAGACCUUGUUUCACGGUUAAUAUUUGGACCCCACGGGGGGGGGGGUGUAUGUGUGUAGUGUGUGUUUGGUAAGUCUAGGUACUGUACGGUGUGUUGUAUUUUACCCGCCCCAUCCUAUUUCAGUUCAAGAGGGUUGAUUUGUUCCAUCUCAAACACACACCUUUAUAUAGAACAGAAUAGAACAACCUCUGGUCAUAUAGAACAACCUCUGGUCAUGUAGAACAACCUCUGGUCAUGUAGAACAACCUCUGGUCAUGUAGAACAACCUCUGGUCAUGUAGAACAACCUCUGGUCAUGUAGAACAACCUCUGGUCAUGUAGAACAACCUCUGGUCAUGUAGAACAACCUCUGAACAACACUGGUCAUGUAGAACAACCUCUGGUCAUGUAGAAUAACCUCUGGUCAUGUAGAACAACCUCUGGUCAUGUAGAACAACCUCUGGUCAUGUAGAACAACCUCUGGUCAUGUAGAACAACCUCUGGUCAUGUAGAACAACCUCUGGUCAUGUAGAUCUCUUUUCGAAAUGCAAUCAUUUAAGGGCAGUGUUGUGAAGGAAGUUGUGACUAUGAUAUGUACAGAAUAAAGACAUUUGCCUAUCUGCACAGGGAGGUGGGGUAUGAUACAAUAGCAAGGAAAACACUGUCAUGACUUCACUAUUUCUGAUCACGUGUUCACUACCGGUAGUUGAAUUGAGUGCAGGUGUCUGUACCUGUGUGUAUUGAGGUGUGUAUACCUGUGUGUAUACCUGUGUGUGUAUACCUGUGUGUGUAUACCUGUGUGUAUUGGUGUGUGUAUACCUGUGUGUAUUGAGGUGUGUAUACCUGUGUGUAUUGAGUGUGUGUAUACCUGUGUGUAUUGAGGUGUGUAUACCUGUGUGUGUAUACCUGUGUGUAUUGGUGUGUGUAUACCUGUGUGUAUUGAGGUGUGUAUACCUGUGUGUAUUGAGUGUGUGUAUACCUGUGUGUAUUGAGGUGUGUAGACCUGUGUGUAUUGAGGUGUGUGUGUGUAUACCUGUGUGUCUACCUGUGUGUAUUGAGGUUUGUGUAUACCUGUGUGUAUUGAGUUGUGUAUACCUGUGUGUAUUGAGGUGUGUGUGUACCUGUGUGUGUUGAGUUGUGUAU